This 253-nucleotide ribosomal RNA is filed under the name uncultured bacterium. Its description in RNAcentral is "partial 16S ribosomal RNA". It matches the Rfam family "Bacterial small subunit ribosomal RNA", at positions 524 to 776 of the family's 1533-position model. The record is from RNAcentral.
UACAGAGGUGGCAAACGUUGUUCGGAUUUACUGGGCGUAAAGGGUCCGCAGGCGGUUCGAUGUGUCGGAUGUGAAAGCUCACAGCUCAACUGUGGAAAUGCAUUCGAAACUGUCGAACUAGAGUACUGGAGGGGAGAAGGGAAUUCAUGGUGUAGCGGUGAAAUGCGUAGAUAUCAUGAAGAACACCGGUGGCGAAGGCGCUUCUCUGGACAGAUACUGACGCUCAUGGACGAAAGUUAGGGUAGCGAAAGGG